UACGUAGGGUGCAAGCGUUGUCCGGAUUUAUUGGGCGUAAAGAGCUCGUAGGCGGCUCGUUGCGUCGGCUGUGAAAACCCGCAGCUCAACUGUGGGCUUGCAGCUGAUACGGGCGGGCUGGGAUUCGGUAGGGGAGACUGGAAUUCCUGGUGUAGCGGUGAAAUGCGCAGAUAUCAGGAGGAACACCGGUGGCGAAGGCGGGUCUCUGGGCCGAUAUCGACGCUGAGGAGCGAAAGCGUGGGGAGCGAACAGG
RNAcentral lists this ribosomal RNA (253 nucleotides) under uncultured bacterium. RNAcentral's name for it is "partial 16S ribosomal RNA". It matches the Rfam family "Bacterial small subunit ribosomal RNA", at positions 524 to 776 of the family's 1533-position model. The record is from RNAcentral.